Molecule: ribosomal RNA, 497 nt
Filed under: uncultured bacterium
Lineage: Bacteria
Description: partial 16S ribosomal RNA
Rfam family: Bacterial small subunit ribosomal RNA
Source: RNAcentral
GAUGAACGCUGGCGGCGUGCCUAAUACAUGCAAGUCGAGCGAACGGACGAGAAGCUUGCUUCUCUGAUGUUAGCGGCGGACGGGUGAGUAACACGUGGAUAACCUACCUAUAAGACUGGGAUAACUUCGGGAAACCGGGGCUAAUACCGGAUAAUAUUUUGAACCGCAUGGUUCAAAAGUGAAAGACGGUCUUGCUGUCACUUAUAGAUGGAUCCGCGCUGCAUUAGCUAGUUGGUAAGGUAACGGCUUACCAAGGCAACGAUGCAUAGCCGACCUGAGAGGGUGAUCGGCCACACUGGAACUGAGACACGGUCCAGACUCCUACGGGAGGCAGCAGUAGGGAAUCUUCCGCAAUGGGCGAAAGCCUUACGGAGCAACGCCGCGUGAGUGAUGAAGGUCUUCGGAUCGUAAAACUCUGUUAUUAGGGAAGAACAUAUGUGUAAGUAACUGUGCACAUCUUGACGGUACCUAAUCAGAAAGCCACGGCUAACUACGUG